This 93-nucleotide small nuclear RNA is filed under the name Jaculus jaculus (lesser Egyptian jerboa). The record is from RNAcentral. Lineage: Eukaryota; Metazoa; Chordata; Mammalia; Rodentia; Dipodidae.
UCUUGUAUCCUCAAGAAGUUGAUAAAUUCACAGAGAUUAGCAUGGCCCCUGUGCAAGGAUGACACGCAAAUUCGUGAAGUGUUCCAUAUUUUU